Molecule: transfer RNA, 76 nt
Filed under: Acidithiobacillales bacterium SG8_45
Lineage: Bacteria; Pseudomonadati; Pseudomonadota; Acidithiobacillia; Acidithiobacillales
Also listed under: 5 other names
Description: tRNA-Glu
Rfam family: tRNA
About the family: Transfer RNA (tRNA) molecules are approximately 80 nucleotides in length. Their secondary structure includes four short double-helical elements and three loops (D, anti-codon, and T loops). Further hydrogen bonds mediate the characteristic L-shaped molecular structure. tRNAs have two regions of fundamental functional importance: the anti-codon, which is responsible for specific mRNA codon recognition, and the 3' end, to which the tRNAs corresponding amino acid is attached (by aminoacyl-tRNA synthetases). tRNAs cope with the degeneracy of the genetic code in two manners: having more than one tRNA (with a specific anti-codon) for a particular amino acid; and 'wobble' base-pairing, i.e. permitting non-standard base-pairing at the 3rd anti-codon position.
Source: RNAcentral
GCUCCCUUCGUCUAGUGGCCUAGGACACCGGCCUCUCACGCCGGUAACAGGGGUUCGAGUCCCCUAGGGAGCGCCA